This 303-nucleotide ribosomal RNA is filed under the name uncultured bacterium. RNAcentral describes it as "partial 16S ribosomal RNA". It matches the Rfam family "Bacterial small subunit ribosomal RNA", at positions 507 to 807 of the family's 1533-position model. The record is from RNAcentral.
AGCAGUCGCCACGGUAAUACGGAGGGUGCGAGCGUUAAUCGGAAUUACUGGGCGUAAAGCGUACGCAGGCGGUUUGUUAAGUCAGAUGUGAAAUCCCCGAGCUUAACUCGGGAACUGCAUUUGAAACCGGCAAGCUAGAGUGUGUCAGAGGAUGGUGGAAUUCCCGGUGUAACGGUGAAAUGCGUAGAGAUCGGGAGGAACAUCAGUGGCGAAGGCGGCCAUCUGGGACAACACUGACGCUGAGGCACGAAAGCGUGGGGAGCAAACAGGAUUAGAGACCCCAGUAGUCCCUGUCUCUUAUAC